This 774-nucleotide ribosomal RNA is filed under the name uncultured Neocallimastigales. Its description in RNAcentral is "partial large subunit ribosomal RNA". It matches the Rfam family "Eukaryotic large subunit ribosomal RNA", at positions 24 to 646 of the family's 3401-position model. The record is from RNAcentral. Lineage: Eukaryota; Fungi; Neocallimastigomycota; Neocallimastigomycetes; Neocallimastigales.
UAUCUCUGUAGAGUCUGCAUAUCAAUAAGCGGAGGAAAAGAAACUAACUAGGAUUCCCUCAGUAACGGCGAGUGAAGCGGGAAGAGCUCAAAUUUGAAAUCUUCAAGGUUUUACCUUGACGAAUUGUAGUUUAAAGAAGUGUUUUCUGUUGGUGUUUUGGUAAAAGUUCUUUGGAAUAGGACAUCAUAGAGGGUGAGAAUCCCGUAUUUGACCAUUACUUCCAGCGUUGUGAUACACUUUCAAAGAGUCGGAUUGUUUGGGAAUGCAGUCCAAAAUGGGUGGUAAAUUUCAUCUAAAGCUAAAUAUUGGCGAGAGACCGAUAGCGAACAAGUACCGUGAGGGAAAGAUGAAAAGAACUUUGAAAAGAGAGUUAAACAGUACGUGAAAUUGUCAAAAGGGAAGCGUUUGACACCAGUGUUGUUUUCUCGAAAAUCAAUUGAAGAACUGUUUAUGCUAAGUUGUUUAGACUUUAUCAGCUAACUGUUUAGUUUUGAGCUUUUCUUUAAUGCACUUUUCAGUUAACAAGUCAACAUCAAUUUCUUUUGCUGUAAAAAAGCUUGAGGAAGGUGGCUUGAGAUUCGUCUUAAGUGUUUAUAGCCUCUUGCCUAUGCAGUCGGAGAGAUUGAGGUCUGCAGCGUAGAUCCUUCGGGGCUAAAUGCAUUUGUGCUAAGUUAUAGCAUUUUAUAGACAACUUGUUGACUAUGAUUUGUCUUGUAGCUUACUCGCUUAUGUUAUUUUACCUACGCUUAGGAUGUUGACGAUCAGCUGAGCGCG